Arachis ipaensis is the source of this 933-nucleotide non-coding RNA. Lineage: Eukaryota; Viridiplantae; Streptophyta; Magnoliopsida; Fabales; Fabaceae. The record is from RefSeq and is a predicted model, not a curated record.
CCCCAGAGACCCAGAGGAGCAAAGAAAACAGACAUCAGAAUUCAUGUCAAAACUGAACACAAAAUUUGGCUUAUUCAUUCCAAUUCAUAAAACGGGUCCUACAAUAGCUCCUCCAUUGCCACUCCACAGCUUGUGUUUGCUUAAUGUCUUGAACAGGCUUCCAAUUUUCGCUAUGCAAAUCUUUGUUACACUAAAGAACAAGGUUAUCAAACUCUCAAGUUAACUCGUAAACUUGUAAGUUUAGGUCGCUGGUCAAGUUUACAACUUUACAAGCAAACUGUUACAAGUUUGCUUGUUGAUUACACAAUUCAAGUUGGUCUAAACUCCCGAGUUUAGGUUAACAUCAAAACCAAUCCUAAACUGAAUAAAACUUCUAAGAAGAAAACUUACAUUGCUUAAUUGGUGAAUGGAGCGCUCCACAAGCAAAGAGACAGCAACAAAGAUGGUCAACACAGUGGGAACAGACCAUGUAGGAGUCAAGGCAAGCGACCGCGCUUCUUGCACACUAUCCGACAUAUUGAAGUAACCAAAUUUACAGACCAAACCUCAAAUAUGACUAUGCCUUAAAAAACCUCAGGCCAACCUAUUCAGACUUUACUGACUUAAAUUUAAAGGUCUCAUUGAAGAUCAACUAUGCAAAUUGUACAAACAUUCAGUGCUUAAUCAAACUAUAACUUAAGUGGGAUAAUACUGAAUCCCACAAAUAGAAAUCCUAAUUGGUUCUGUCUUUGAUCAGCAGCUAGUUAGCUUGAUCCCUAAUUUAGAUAUAACAAAGAAGGAAGAUCCUGUUAUUUCUAAUGUCUCCAACACAGAUUAUAUAAGAUACCCUUAACUACCAGUCUACCACGUUUGACCAAGGGCAAUGGCCAACAAAGAGAAUCAAGGCAAAGCACCCCCAAAGGAACUUUAGUGGUUCUUCACUCCACAUAAAUU